AACACAGUUUAUGAGAAAUUAGAUAUUGACGUAUCUCAGGUGUCAAACCUCUUAGAAACAUCCGCAUCAUUCUCUCCUCAUUGUCAACCAAGUGAGACGCAAACCGGGACAACUCGACAAACUUAGCUUCUUACUGCGAUACGGUCAUAUUGUUCUGCUCCAACUUGAUGAACUCUACCUCUUUCAUGUGACGAAUACUUUCGGGAAAAUACUUAUCGUUGAAUAGUUCUUGGAACUUCUUCCAAGACAUCUUCAGUGCGACAGGUUGAGUACGCUUUACCAAUUCCC
Molecule: long non-coding RNA, 288 nt
Filed under: Panax ginseng (ginseng)
Lineage: Eukaryota; Viridiplantae; Streptophyta; Magnoliopsida; Apiales; Araliaceae
Description: long non-coding RNA (PGIN_LNC019169)
Source: RNAcentral